GACGAACGCUGGCGGCGUGCUUAACACAUGCAAGUCGAACGGAAAGGCCCUGCUUGCAGGGUACUCGAGUGGCGAACGGGUGAGUAACACGUGGGUGAUCUGCCCUGCACUUCGGGAUAAGCCUGGGAAACUGGGUCUAAUACCGGAUAGGAGCCAUUUUUAGUGUGAUGGUUGGAAAGUUUUUUCGGUGUAGGAUGAGCUCGCGGCCUAUCAGCUUGUUGGUGGGGUAAUGGCCUACCAAGGCGGCGACGGGUAGCCGGCCUGAGAGGGUGGACGGCCACAUUGGGACUGAGAUACGGCCCAGACUCCUACGGGAGGCAGCAGUGGGGAAUAUUGCACAAUGGGCGCAAGCCUGAUGCAGCGACGCCGCGUGGGGGAGGACGGCCUUCGGGUUGUAAACUCCUUUCGCUAGGGACGAAGCUUUUUGUGACGGUACCUAGAUAAGAGGCACCGGCUAACUACG
This 463-nucleotide ribosomal RNA is filed under the name uncultured bacterium. Its description in RNAcentral is "partial 16S ribosomal RNA". It matches the Rfam family "Bacterial small subunit ribosomal RNA", at positions 28 to 505 of the family's 1533-position model. The record is from RNAcentral.